This 449-nucleotide ribosomal RNA is filed under the name uncultured prokaryote. RNAcentral's name for it is "bacterial SSU rRNA". It matches the Rfam family "Bacterial small subunit ribosomal RNA", at positions 355 to 796 of the family's 1533-position model. The record is from RNAcentral.
UGGGGAAUCUUGGUCAAUGGGCGAAAGCCUGAACCAGCCAUGCCGCGUGUGUGAAGAAGGCCCUAGGGUUGUAAAGCACUUUAAGCAGGAAAGAAAAAGCCCGGGCUAAUACCCCGAGGCCUUGACGGUACCUGCAGAAUAAGCACCGGCAAACUCCGUGCCAGCAGCCGCGGUAAUACGGAGGGUGCAAGCGUUAACCGGAAUUACUGGGCGUAAAGCGUGCGUAGGCGGCUCCACAUGUCGGGUGUGAAAGCCCCGGGCUCAACCUGGGAAUUGCAUCCGAAACUGCGGGGCUAGAGUGUGGUAGAGGAAGAUGGAAUUCCACGUGUAGCGGUGAAAUGCGUAGAUAUGUGGAGGAACACCGAUGGCGAAGGCAGUCUUCUGGGCCAACACUGACGCUGAGGCACGAAAGCGUGGGUAGCGAACAGGAUUAGAUACCCCCGUAGUCC